UACGUAGGGGGCAAGCGUUAUCCGGAUUUACUGGGUGUAAAGGGAGCGUAGACGGCGAUGCAAGUCUGAAGUGAAAGGCGGGGGCCCAACCCCCGGACUGCUUUGGAAACUGUAUGGCUGGAGUGCAGGAGAGGUAAGUGGAAUUCCUAGUGUAGCGGUGAAAUGCGUAGAUAUUAGGAGGAACACCAGUGGCGAAGGCGGCUUACUGGACUGUAACUGACACUGAGGCUCGAAAGCGUGGGGAGCAAACAGG
RNAcentral lists this ribosomal RNA (253 nucleotides) under uncultured bacterium. RNAcentral describes it as "partial 16S ribosomal RNA". It matches the Rfam family "Bacterial small subunit ribosomal RNA", at positions 524 to 776 of the family's 1533-position model. The record is from RNAcentral.